RNAcentral lists this ribosomal RNA (20 nucleotides) under Tuber pseudoexcavatum. Its description in RNAcentral is "partial 28S ribosomal RNA". The record is from RNAcentral. Lineage: Eukaryota; Fungi; Ascomycota; Pezizomycetes; Pezizales; Tuberaceae.
GCUGAACUAAGCAUAUCAAU